UAGAAGGCAAUCCGGGCCGCUACGGGGACGUCACGGUUGGCGAAGGUAACGUCACGGUCUUUGAGGACCUCGCGGGCGGAGGAAGGGGAGUUGAUGACGACGCAGGUCAUGCCGCCGAGGCGGAGCUUGAAGAUUGGGCCAUAGGUGUGGGCCAGGCCGGCGAAGUAGGAGUGGAGUUCUGGAUCGAGAGAAAGAAGGUUACCGAGUAAGGGCAUUCCCAAUGGGCCUGGGGGCAAAGGUGGGAUUUUGUUGCGGGACUUUUUUUUGCACAGCCAUGCACACCAGAUGGUUGCGAAAAUGGCUGAGAAAGUGGAGAGAAGAAGCCAACUCUCAUCAUUUCUGGUACUAGUUUUGAACGAAUUCAUGGCGAGCUUCAAAUUGGUUUUUGAGUUUUGUGUGAAGAAAUAAAGGGAGAAGGGAAGGACACUGUGUAGUGCUAGUGAA
RNAcentral lists this long non-coding RNA (444 nucleotides) under Prunus dulcis (almond). Its description in RNAcentral is "sRNA ncRNA". The record is from RNAcentral. Lineage: Eukaryota; Viridiplantae; Streptophyta; Magnoliopsida; Rosales; Rosaceae.